Molecule: transfer RNA, 38 nt
Filed under: Polarella glacialis
Lineage: Eukaryota; Dinophyceae; Suessiales; Suessiaceae
Description: partial Selenocysteine transfer RNA
Source: RNAcentral
UACGACGUGGUGGUUGGGCAGGACUUCAAAUUCGAGGU